This 442-nucleotide ribosomal RNA is filed under the name uncultured bacterium. Its description in RNAcentral is "partial 16S ribosomal RNA". It matches the Rfam family "Bacterial small subunit ribosomal RNA", at positions 338 to 795 of the family's 1533-position model. The record is from RNAcentral.
CCUACGGGAGGCAGCAGUAGGGAAUCUUUCACAAUGGGCGAAAGCCUGAUGGAGCAACGCCGCGUGCAGGAUGAAGGCCUUCGGGUUGUAAACUGCUUUUAUAAGCGAGAAAUAUGAUGGUAACUUAUGAAUAAGGAUCGGCUAACUACGUGCCAGCAGCCGCGGUCAUACGUAGGAUCCGAGCAUUAUCCGGAGUGACUGGGUGUAAAGAGUUGCGUAGGUGGCAUAAUAAGUAGCUAGUGAAAUCGGGUGGCUCAACCAUUCAGACUAUUAGCUAAACUGUUAAGCUCGAGACCGUUAGGGGUAACUGGAAUGUCUAGUGUAGGAGUGAAAUCCGUAGAUAUUAGAAGGAACACCAAUAGCGUAGGCAGGUUACUGGGACGGUUCUGACACUAAGGCACGAAAGCGUAGGGAGCAAACGGGAUUAGAUACCCCAGUAGUC